RNAcentral lists this ribosomal RNA (277 nucleotides) under Mesodinium pulex. RNAcentral's name for it is "partial Bacterial small subunit ribosomal RNA". It matches the Rfam family "Bacterial small subunit ribosomal RNA", at positions 505 to 779 of the family's 1533-position model. The record is from RNAcentral. Lineage: Eukaryota; Ciliophora; Litostomatea; Cyclotrichida; Mesodiniidae.
GUGCCAGCAGCCGCGGUAAUACGAGUAGUACAAGUGUUAUUCAGACAAACUGGGUGUAAAGGGUCCUUAGGUUGUUUUUUGUAAGUUGAUUCUUAAAUGUCAAAGCUUAACUUUGGAAUGGGAAUCAAUACUAAAUUUCUGGAGUAGUUUGCGGGUUGAUAGUAUUUUUUCAGUAGGAAAAUUAUCCUUAAAUAGAAAAAGGAGUAUCUAGGGUGAAAACAAUCAACUAGCUUCGAACUGACACUGAAGGACUAAAGCGUGGGGAGCAAACAGGAUU